Molecule: long non-coding RNA, 1275 nt
Filed under: Gadus morhua (Atlantic cod)
Lineage: Eukaryota; Metazoa; Chordata; Actinopteri; Gadiformes; Gadidae
Description: lncRNA (ENSGMOG00000036690.1)
Source: RNAcentral
CGUUAACUGUGCUACGGCCUCAUUUAGGCAUAUACUACUGAACAAUAUAAACAAAUGAUAUAAAAAAAAAAAAUCCCAGCCUCUUUCAUUUUCAAAUAGUAUGUAAAUAUUCUGAAUGAAUAAAAAUUGAAAAGAUAUGCGAGUCCUGUCAUGUUUUUGGAGCCAUUUUUUGUUUGGUAUUGAAGGGAAAAACGGUCUGUCUAGUUACUGGACCAGAUAAAAUGAGACGGAGAGGUAAUAAAGUCUGUCGGCACGAGGACCUUGGAUUUAUUAAGUAAAGUGGCAACGGUUAUACAGAGUCAUAAAGCGUGAGAAAUCGAAUAUGUCUAAGUCCCUAAUCAGCGCUGAUGGUUCGUCCGGAGCUUCGCCUCCGUGGAAGGUCUGCUUCAGAAGAAGGUGAAGAGUCUCAGAGUGAUACAGUCUUAUGCUGUAUCUCCUCGUGAUGAGGUGUGUGCGUUUGAGAUGUGUGUGUGGUUCUGUGUGGUUUUACUUGACCUUGGCUCCCAGGCACUAGUGUAUGCAUGUAUAUCUUCUUGUGUUCCUCCUCACGGGGGAGAGCUUCAGAGCAUCUCCUGUUGUGGUCCUCCCGUUCUUGAGGAUGACUGGUGCAUUGUCUGAGUGUCUACCAUCUGCCGGGAGGAGAAAUGGGGCCCUGGCUCCGGCCCUGACCUGACUAUAUUCUCAUGUAUGUGUUAUGUGUUAAAAGUUGACUAUAUUAUAAGGUGACUGCCAUGUGAUGUGCUCAUUAAGCUAGGGUAGGAGUUAGCUAUAUUUAUAAUGUACAUGUGAUGUGCUCAGCAGGUUAUUUUGCCCAACAGUAUGAUGUUUGAUUUAUUAAUUAAUAUACAAGAUGAUUUGGGCUUGGUUAUUUGAGUUAAAUGUUUGUUUUAUCUGUUUUCAUUUAGUAAAAACCUAUUUUGCAUUUGACAUGUUGGGGACGCCGUAUUUGGAUGAAUGUAGCGCACCUGUGGGUAUUUAGGAGAAGAGCCACAGGUGAAUAGCCAGACGGGAAGCGGUACAGUUUUUAAGCCGCUCAGUGACAGCUCUUUUGAUAUAUGUGAAAAAGGUUUAUGUUGAUCCUCAUGUUUGCUUUUUGCUUUCGGUUAAAUAAAUACCACAAAGCCAAGACGGACGAUCCCUGCCUUUUAUUUUUGAAGCGAAGGGGCGAGCGUGUCUAAAACCCACAAUCCCGAAAGGACCGUGAACAAUUUUGAUUGAACAACAAAAUAUGUCACGACACAUGUGUAUAAGCUAUACACACACGACUUUAUAUGU